AUUGCUUCUCGGGCUUUUGGCUAAGAUCAAAUGCAGUAUGUGUUCCGAUCAGUUAAAAUAUCCGGUAUGUCCUGUAUCCGAGGACAGUAUAUUAAGUGGAUUUGGGGAGCAGGGAGAUGGAAGAGGAGCUUUCUCCAACCACUCUGCACAUAGAGCUAGCAUCAUAGUAUCUCCAGGAAUGGUGCACCCAAC
Molecule: small nuclear RNA, 192 nt
Organism: Hyaena hyaena (striped hyena)
Lineage: Eukaryota; Metazoa; Chordata; Mammalia; Carnivora; Hyaenidae
Product: U2 spliceosomal RNA
Exons: 1
Source: RefSeq, a predicted model, not a curated record